Molecule: ribosomal RNA, 473 nt
Filed under: uncultured bacterium
Lineage: Bacteria
Description: partial 16S ribosomal RNA
Rfam family: Bacterial small subunit ribosomal RNA
Source: RNAcentral
UUUCCAGACUCCUACGGGAGGCAGCAGUGGGGAAUAUUGCGCAAUGGGCGAAAGCCUGACGCAGUGACGCCGCGUGAGGGAUGAAGGUCUUCGGAUCGUAAACCUCUGUCAGCAGGGAAGAACGGUCACUGUGCUAAUCAGCAGUGAAUUGACGGUACCUGCAAAGGAAGCACCGGCUAACUACGUGCCAGCAGCCGCGGUAAUACGUAGGGGGCAAGCGUUAUCCGGAUUUACUGGGUGUAAAGGGGGCGCAGACGGCAGCGCAAGCCAGGAGUGAAAGCCCGGGGCCCAACCCCGGGACUGCUCUUGGAACUGCGCGGCUGGAGUGCAGGAGGGGCAGGCGGAAUUCCUGGUGUAGCGGUGAAAUGCGUAGAUAUCAGGAGGAACACCGGUGGCGAAGGCGGCCUGCUGGACUGCGACUGACGUUGAGGCCCGAAAGCGUGGGGAGCAAACAGGAUUAGAUACCCUGGUAU